AGUGAACGCUGGCGGUAGGCCUAACACAUGCAAGUCGAACGGCAGCACAGGAGAGCUUGCUCUCUGGGUGGCGAGUGGCGGACGGGUGAGGAAUACAUCGGAAUCUACUCUGUCGUGGGGGAUAACGUAGGGAAACUUACGCUAAUACCGCAUACGACCUACGGGUGAAAGCAGGGGACCUUCGGGCCUUGCGCGAUUGAAUGAGCCGAUGUCGGAUUAGCUAGUUGGCGGGGUAAAGGCCCACCAAGGCGACGAUCCGUAGCUGGUCUGAGAGGAUGAUCAGCCACACUGGAACUGAGACACGGUCCAGACUCCUACGGGCGGCAGCAGUGGGGAAUAUUGGACAAUGGGCGCAAGCCCGAUUCAGCCAUACCGCGUGGGUGAAGAAGGCCUUCGGGUUGUAAAGCCCUUUUGUUGGGAAAGAAAUCCAGCUGGCUAAUACCCGGUUGGGAUGACGGUACCCAAAGAAUAAGCACCGGCUAACUUCGUGCCAGCAGCCGCCGUAA
Molecule: ribosomal RNA, 506 nt
Filed under: uncultured bacterium
Lineage: Bacteria
Description: partial 16S ribosomal RNA
Rfam family: Bacterial small subunit ribosomal RNA
Source: RNAcentral